AGAGUUUGAUCAUGGCUCAGAGCGAACGCUGGCGGCGUACUUAACACAUGCAAGUCGAACGAGGACCAUUGGUGUAGCAAUACAUCAGUGGUUCUAGUGGCGCACGGGUGAGUAACACGUGGGUAACCUGCCCUAGAGCCUGAGAUACCCCCUCGAAAGGGGGGCUAAUACCGGAUACGUUCUUCGGACCGAGAGGUCUGGAGAGGAAAGGUGGCGCAAGCUGCCGCUCUUGGAGGGGCUCGCGGCCUAUCAGCUAGUUGGCGGGGUAACGGCCCACCAAGGCUAUGACGGGUAGCUGGUCUGAGAGGACGACCAGCCACACGGGGACUGAGACACGGCCCCGACUCCUACGGGAGGCAGCAGUGGGGAAUUUUCCGCAAUGGGCGAAAGCCUGACGGAGUGACGCCGCGUGUGGGACGAAGGCCUUCGGGUCGUAAACCACUGUCAGUGGGAAAGAUGGGCGUCGGCGUGAUAACCGCCGGCGUCUGACGGUACCUGCAGAGGAAGCCCCGGCUAACUCUGUGCCAGCAGCCGCGGUAAGACAGAGGGGGCAAGCGUUGCUCGGAAUUACUGGGCGUAAAGGGCGCGUAGGCGGGAUGGCAAGUCGGUCGUGAAAUCCCUCGGCUCAACCGAGGUGCGUCGAUCGAUACUGCCGUUCUUGAGGGUUGCAGAGGAGACUGGAAUUCCCGGUGUAGCGGUGAAAUGUGUAGAGAUCGGGAGGAACACCGGUGGCGAAGGCGGGUCUCUGGGCAACUCCUGACGCUGAGGCGCGAAAGCGUGGGGAGCAAACGGGAUUAGAUACCCUAGUAGUCC
RNAcentral lists this ribosomal RNA (813 nucleotides) under uncultured bacterium. RNAcentral's name for it is "bacterial SSU rRNA". It matches the Rfam family "Bacterial small subunit ribosomal RNA", at positions 8 to 796 of the family's 1533-position model. The record is from RNAcentral.